RNAcentral lists this ribosomal RNA (253 nucleotides) under uncultured bacterium. Its description in RNAcentral is "partial 16S ribosomal RNA". It matches the Rfam family "Bacterial small subunit ribosomal RNA", at positions 524 to 776 of the family's 1533-position model. The record is from RNAcentral.
CACGUAGGGCGCAAGCGUUGUCCGGAAUUACUGGGCGUAAAGGGCUCGUAGGCGGCCAACUAAGUCGGAUGUGAAAUCCCCAGGCUUAACUUGGGAACUGCAUCCGAUACUGGAUGGCUUGAAUCCGGGAGAGGGAUGCGGAAUUCCAGGUGUAGCGGUGAAAUGCGUAGAUAUCUGGAGGAACACCGGUGGCGAAGGCGGCAUCCUGGACCGGCAUUGACGCUGAUGAGCGAAAGCCAGGGGAGCAAACGGG